Molecule: long non-coding RNA, 5575 nt
Filed under: Sus scrofa (pig)
Lineage: Eukaryota; Metazoa; Chordata; Mammalia; Artiodactyla; Suidae
Description: lncRNA (ENSSSCG00005040649.1)
Source: RNAcentral
UUUUUUUUUUUUUCUUUUUAGGGCUAUACCUGCAGCAUAUGGAAGUCCAUACGCUACGGGUUGAAUCAGAGCCGCAGCUGCUGACCUAUGCCACAGCCAAUGCUGGAUCUGAGCCAGAUCUGUGACCUGCACUGCAGCUUGCAUCAAUGCCUGAUCCUUAACCCAUUGAGGGAGGCCAGGGAUUGAACCCACAUCCUCAUGGACAAUAGGUUGGGUUCUUAACCUGCUGAGCUACAACGGACACUCCACUUAGGUGCAUUCUUGAUGGGAAGGUAGAAUGGUGGUUCUCUAAAAAAAUUAGACAUAUAAUUACCACAAGAUCCACCAAUUCCAUCUUUUUUUAAAAAAUCAUUUAGGGCCGCAUUUGAAUAAGAGGUAGGAAGCAACCCCUCAAGUGUCCGUGGAAGGAUCAACAGAAAAGCAAUACAGAGCAUAUACAUACAAGGUCAUGUUCAGCCUUAAAAAGGACAUUCUGCCACCUGCUGUGACAUGAAGCUUGAGGACAUUAUGCUCAGUGAAAUAAGCCUGUCACAAAAAGAGAAAUGCCAUUAUGACUCCACUUAUAUGGGGUCCCUAGAGGAAUCAUAUUCAGAGAAAUAGAGUAGUAGAAUGGAGAUUGUUAUGGGCUGGGGGAGGAGAGGGAGUUGUUUAAUGGGGACAGUUUCAGUUGGGGGAGAUGGAAAGUUCUGGAGAUGGACGGUGGUGACGGUUGCACAACAAUGUGAAUGGACUUAAUGCCCUUGAGCUGUACACUUAAAAAUGGUUAAAAUAGUAAAUUGCAUGUUAUGUAUAUAUUGCCCUCCCUCCCCCUGGCUCUCCUUCAAUGGAGCAUCUGCAGCCAGCCCUGGGCUGACAAGUCUCGGAGAAAACCACAGAGGCCCUUCAAGGAAAGAGGGCCGUCCUCUGGGUACAGCCCCUCAGUGAGGGGGUAACAAAUGGAGCCCGCCGAGUCUAAACGUGGCCCCACUGCGAUGGAGGGGGGUACUUCCUCAGUUCUCUAGAGUGAUGACAGGACUGAAGAUGAGGCUGAAGGCACCAGCCUCAGGCCUGGCCAAGAGCCCCACUUUUGUCCUUUGGCUGACAGAACAAAAAGAACCUGUCCCCCUCCCACCCUGCACCCCACAUCGAUGUUGGUGACCCCAGCCUUGACCCCCGUGAGGUGGUGCCCUGCCACCCAACCUCCAAUCAGCACCCUGGGGCUCCAAGAGGCUGGCCAGCAGGAGCUGGCCCCCUGCCCACCAGACCCCAGUGCCCUCAACAAACCACGAAACCAACAUUAACACUGGGGGUUCAGCCCAGGGUGACAGGGAAAUGACUGGUGGCCCUUUUAGGAGAGAACUCAGGAAGCUUGAGCUAGGCUUUGUCUCUAAAGGUCACAAGCUACUCUGUGCCAGAUCCGCAGCAAAGAGCUGGGACCCACAGGCGAGUCACAGUGGCCCAAGACUGUCUUGAGGAUUCCUGGCUGCUCAUGGGACAGAGGCUGACAGGGUAGGGGUUGUGGUAGAGAAGCUCACAGCCCUCACCUGCACCCUGCCCUGAAAAUGUUGCCCAUCUGUCAGGCAGAGGCUGGUGGCUCCCAGGCUGCACCCCACCCAGGGCCAGGGGUCCUGCUGGCCUCUUAUGUCACAUCUGACAGCUAGGCUCCCUCUUUGGGGCCCAGGCUGGGGCAGCACAGCCUAUCAGACUGGGCCAGGUGAGACAUGCCUGGCUCUGCCUGGCAAACGGACUCCAGGGCUCCCUCUUUCUGCCCCAAUGGGGGACUCCUCCGGGGACCGCCCCCCUCCCCAGCCCCAGCAGGUUUUAACCCAGAGUUCCUGCAGCUAAUUCACUGCUACUGCCACGUGCACCCCACCCACCAUGCCUGCCUGAGAAACCAGGGCCUCUGUCAUUGCUGUUGGCCAAACUCCCUCUUCUUGCGGGUGGGGAGGGAGGCAGGGAGCCCCAAGGACCAGCUGUCUGAGGGGUCUGGCCUUUCACACCAUGACGGCUGCCUGCAAAGUCUGGAGCCUUUUGGGUGGGCAGGGGGCUGAGGGCUUGGCUCCAGCUGCCCCUCUUCCCUUCCUGCAACGACAGCCAAUUUUCCACAAACACACAUUUCCCUCAUGUCCUGGCCUGGGAGGGAAGUGGCAGCGAUGAAGGGGUGGCCGGGCCCUGGAGUGGAAAAAUCACUCAGCUCCUGAAGGGGGCUGGCGGGAAGGAAUUUCAAACGGGAGGAAAUGUCUUAAAGUGCCAAGCACUUGUAAGGGAAAAAGGGCUUCUUGUUCCAGGAUAUUUGAGUCACCGCUGCACAAGCUGCAGCCAGGAGUGUGUGUGGCCAUGAGAGCCUGGGUGCCUUGUGCAGCCCAGGGUCAGCCCUGGGAGUGGGCCCGUGUCCCUGAGGUCCAGCCCCAGCCCGAGGCCGCUACUCUGUGGGUUGGGGGAUAGCCUGUGGCUGGCAUGACAUGGAACAGGUGUCACAGAGAAGGCCUCCAAACCAGAGAUGGAGCCAUGCCAUGCUCCCAGUCAGCUCUGCCCCUGGUGGUGGGUGGAUAUGGCAGGCGUGGGGGUGGGAGGAGCUGGGAGCUGGGUGGAGACCCAGUGGUCAUCCGACCCAGCUGUGUGUACCAUCUGUGUCCAGGACGCUGGUAGAGAUGCUUAUCCUAACUUGGGGGACAUGUAUGUGCUGGUUCAAGGCCGUGGCCCUGACUGCCAGAGCCUGGUCCCCAUGGGAUCCCCUAUGUGGAAACUAUGGCUGAGUGUGUCCCUGGGGCAUGGCUGGCCUGUGUGUCCCCAGCCAGGACCCUUCAGAGGCCCCACCUGGGCCUGGGGGCAGAGUGCCAGCCCCUCCACAUGCCCACCAUCCUCUCCCUGGAGAAGUCAAGGCUCUGUCAAUCAGAAAACACUCCCGCCUGACCCUCCAAGCCAAUCCUGUCUCUUGGGCACACCUAUUGGCACCUGGAACCUGGAAAUCCAGAGGGCCGCCAGCUGGCCCGAUCCCUAGCCGAGUGGUGCAGCCGUAGCGAGGAGGUUUCAGCCAGGCCCUGCCCACAGCUCCCUGGCCAGCUCCUGGGCCACAUAAGUAUUACAGUUUUAUGGAGAAAGAAUGGAAGGAAGGUAAGUAUUUUAAAAAGUUUUCAAGCCUAGCACUAAAUUUUCCACAAUCCCAAGCCUCCUUUUUGCUGCCCGUGGGACUGAGGCUCUGCCAGGAUGCUGCCUGUGUCCUGGGGCAGGGCCGGUAGCCCAUCCUGUACACUGUCCUUUGCUGGAAUGAUAACUGCUGGGCCGAUGCAGCCAGGGGUAAGUGCGGGACAAACGGGGCUCCAGGGCGAUCGGGUCUGCUGCCUGAGCCCAGUGACCCUCGGCAAGUCCCUUGACCUCUCUGGGCUUCUGCUUCCCCAUGGGAAUCAGAAUAGUGGAGGCACCUCAUGGUGUACCUGGGGUGGUGCCUGUCCCAGGCCCACUGGUCCUUGCCAAGCCCAGAGCCAGCAGAGUGACUGGGUGUACCCGAACUGGGGCAUGUGUGGAGGGACCCUGACCUGAUGUCACCUGGAGAAAAUCCAAAUGUGGCCUGUCCCAUGGAUGGCGGUCACCAUCCUGGGGGCCAAGGCCCUCAUGUUGCCCCCAUGAACUCGAGGCAGGCUGCCAGUACUGCCUGAUGGAGGUGCCAGAUGCCAAGGUCCUCCCACACCUGGGCUGCUGUCAGGUAUGGCUGGGUGGCCGGGCAGGGAGGGCCAGGGGCUGGGAUCCCACGCUAGUGCCCUGCAGACUGCACAGAGUGAGGGCUCAGUUAAAACCUACUAAACAGAUACAAACUGUUACAUUUGGAAUGGAUGGGAAGUGGGCCCCUACUGUACAGCCAAGGGAACUGUUAUGUGAUUGAGUCACUCUGCUGUACAACACAAAUUGAAGAAAUACUGUAAAUCAACUAUACUCUAAUAAAAAAUUUAAUUUAAAAAAACCCUCUGCUAACCGAGUUUACAAACACUCAAAGGGGGUCCCUGCACAGAGCCUGGGCUGGUCAAGGCGGGGGUUUUCUGUGAGACAUCAGCAGGCAACAGCUGCUGGCCCACAAGGGCUGGGCUCCCAGGCCAGCUGACUGUGCGGUCAGGAGCUCACAGCUGGGGCGGGUAGGGGGAGACCAGUGACCAAUUGCCACACAGGCCACCCACCCCCAGGCUCUGUGGUAACACAAUGACCCUCUGAAGGGCAUUUCCUCUGCAAAUGACCCGGAACAGCUCAUGUGGUGUUCUGGGGCGCUGUUCUGUACAAGGCCCGCUGAUCCAGCGAGCCACACCACCCCAUCUCUGACCCAUGAUGGAGACUGUGCUAGGUUGGCUCCCUUGCAACUCUGACAUGGCCCCUCUGCAGCUGCAACCACCUCAGGCUGCCUCUGAUCUGGCCAGCAGAUAGACAAGUGACCAAAGCCAGCAAGGCUCAGGCUGGGGGAGGGUGAAAGGGAUGGAAGGGGCUCACUCAGCAUGAGUGAGCACAAACACUCCCCCCACCCCCCCUACCCCGCCUCUGAGUGAGGUUCCCUGGCCUGUGGGGGCAGGUACUGCACUGUGAGGGGCCUCGGUCACUGGCUGUCAGCCUCUGCUUCUCAAAUCUUCUGUGCCUCUGAUGGGCAAAGAGGGGCCCAGGAGGUUAGAGGGGCCCAUGCAGCCCAGGCGCCCUAACAGUCACACUCUGGGCCUCAGCUGGCCUGGUAGGCAUUCCGUCCCUGGGCUGAGCCCUGCCUGAUGCCCACUGGGCCCCCUUUCAACCUGAUGCUUGAGGUUGGGGUCUGCUCCUGCUGGGGCCCAGCAACCCCCCGCCCCCAAUCUCCCGGCCGGCCUCUGACCCACUUGGCUGAAAUGUGACCGCCUCCGACUUGAUAAAAAGGUGUUUUCCUCUGGGCACUUUGCCAGCGGAGCUUCCAGGAAAGCGGAGUGAACCUCUCCUUACAGGCCUGGGAUUCCGAACUGCAGGCGAUGGACAGUUUCAGAGCAGGACCUGGUAGGCCCUGAACUUCGGCAGGGUUCAGCCAGUGGGCCAACCAGUAGCCUCCUGUCUGGACUUGUCUAAGCAAAACGAAGUGCCCAGACCUGCUUGCCAAGGGAACAGGGCGAGGCCCUGGAGGGGGAGGAGCACCAUGACUGGGGAUCAAGGCUGCGGUGCCCCAGGCAGGGGGGAGCCCAUCUGCUCCCCAGCUUUGUGCCUGCCUGGGCCCCUCCUCACAGGUGACAUCAGAAACCACUAAGCCCCUGGGAGACCAUCUGCCCUGCCUCUGCCGACCCUCUCCUCCGUGGAGAGCGAAACAUCAGACCCAAUGGCUUGGCUGUUUCUUGUGGGCAGUCACUCACCCAGCUGGGCCCUGAGGAGGGAGGGUAGGUGGUCACUUGGGGCCUCCUCUGGGACCCUGUACCACUUCGGGCUGCUGCGAAAGCCCGUCCCUUAAGAAGCCGCAUUACCCUCCAGCCAGGGCAGGCAGUGUUGCGAGUGCAAACCUUACACCCGGGUGAUGCCUGGCUCUCCCUUCCUAGGGGACCCUGCCUGCUCCCUGUCACUGGGGAGGGGUCAACAGGAAACUCUGGAGCCACAGGCUGAGUAUGAAUCC